This 228-nucleotide long non-coding RNA is filed under the name Nicotiana benthamiana. RNAcentral describes it as "long non-coding RNA (NBEN_LNC036377)". The record is from RNAcentral. Lineage: Eukaryota; Viridiplantae; Streptophyta; Magnoliopsida; Solanales; Solanaceae.
UCCAUGGAUCCUUUAUUCAUACUUAUUCAAUUGGAAGUAUUGAUCCAAUUCCAAAAUUAUGUUUUGCAAUUUCAUAAUCCAAUUUUUCAAUGUCUAAGUGACCCUUGGAUACAAAUCACGAGAAUGUGUAUUUGUUCUCGAAUUUGUCAUUGAGAAGAAAAGGAUUAAAUCCUUUUAAGAAAUAAAAUUUUUGAUCGAAAUACGAAUCAAACCGAAGGACCCUUUAAC